This is a long non-coding RNA of Centropristis striata (black sea bass), 1319 nucleotides long. RefSeq lists it as uncharacterized. The record is from RefSeq and is a predicted model, not a curated record. NCBI's taxonomy places the organism in Eukaryota, Metazoa, Chordata, Actinopteri, Perciformes, Serranidae. The transcript is spliced from 3 exons.
AGAAAGAUGUUUAUAUAUAUGACCCUACCGCCCGGACAGGUUGAUUGGAUUUAAUUAAGCGCGCGCACACACGCAGACGGUGAGACACGGAGCGAGGCCUUGGCCCUCUAGAAAUUCCUGCUCCGGUACCUGUGCUACUCGGUAUAUAGACCGUGAAUAAGCUUGAAGGUUUGAUGCGCUCGUUGAUGACUCAAAUCAAGUCGAAAAUAACGUGUGUUGUUGUGCUCACACAGUGUGAGUAGAAAUCAUUAGUGGCGCAUUGAUAUUAAUGAUCAUGUGAAAUUUCACAGCAGCGCACGUAAUUCAAAUGAAUGUAGGGGAAACACUGGGGUUUUUUUCAACAGAGAAGGUGAAAUGUCCGUUUUUGGAAAUACCCGGCAACGUGUAAAGAUCAAUGGGACGCAAUGCAGCUCUUAUUUAUUUUUGCUAACCUGCUCUAUUUUUUCUCUUAGGCGGGGGGCAAAAAUGCUUGGGCGCUGCGCCUAAGCUGUAGAAUGGCAGGGAAAACCCUGAGGAUGUAGUCUGGUACUCCCCAUCAGGUUAUAAUUUUGUUGGAAGGAGUUCUCAGCGACAUCCUGGUAUGUAGACUUGCUAGAUGGUUUCAUCUGAAGGAGUUCCAAGAUGGCACAGCGGAUGGCAGCUUCAAAACAUGGAUCACCUCGUUCCACGACGCUGGACUGCACGAGGGCACGAAUAUCCAGCCUUUGUGGGAUCACUAUGAACGCUCUAAGGCGAAAAGCUGGUACAGAUCUUUCCGGCAAUAUAGCGGGACAUUUGCAGGACGGCACUAUGAAAGAGGCUUCUUUGCCUUCUGUGAUAUCUGACUUCCAGCGCCGACAAAGUGACCGAUAUCUCUUUGAAUGGACUGACCCCAUAGUACAUCAAGGACUUCAUCCAAAUCUAUACUCCAGCGCUCAAAUUGAGGUCCGAGGGCCAGCUCCAGCCCGUGGUGCCUAGAGCGAGACUUAAAACCAGGGGGGGACAGGGCUUUCUCUGUGGUGGACCCCAGAUUUUGGAAUGCCCUCCCCCUCCUUGUCCCAGCAGCCCCCACGGUGGAGUGCUUUAAGUCUUGUCUUAAGACCCAUUUUUAUUCCCUGGCUUUUUAACUUUGCUUUGCUUUACUUUGUUUUGUGGUCCUCUGUGUCUUUUUAUUUCUUUUAGUACUUCAAACUACGUCUUUUAUUUAUUUUACUAUCUGUUUGAUUUUAUGGUUUUAUUUAUAGCAUCAUUUUAGAGUAAUACACUUAUUAUUUAUUGCUGAUUGUUAUAUGGAAAUGUUUGUUUUAUUGUUGUUUAAAUGUGCUAUACAAAUAAAGUGG